CCUACGGGAGGCAGCAGUGAGGAAUAUUGGUCAAUGGGCGCGAGCCUGAACCAGCCAAGUCGCGUGAGGGAAGACGGUCCUAUGGAUUGUAAACCUCUUUUGUCGGGGAGCAAAAGACGCCACGCGUGGCGUUCCGAGAGUACCCUGAGAACAAGCAUCGGCAAACUCCGUGCCAGCAGCCGCGGUAAUACGGAGGAUGCGAGCGUUAUCCGGAUUUAUUGGGUUUAAGGGGUGCGCAGGCGGAAGGUCAAGUCAGCGGUAAAAUUGAGAGGCUCAACCUCUUCCAGCCGUUGAAACUGGUGGUCUUGAGUGAGCGAGAAGUAUGCGGAAUGCGUGGUGUAACGGUGAAAUGCAUAGAUAUCACGCAGAACUCCGAUUGCGAAGGCAGCAUACCGGCGCUCAACUGACGCUCAUGCACGAAAGUGUGGGUAUCGAACAGGAUUAGAUACCCUAGUAGUC
This 459-nucleotide ribosomal RNA is filed under the name uncultured bacterium. RNAcentral's name for it is "partial 16S ribosomal RNA". It matches the Rfam family "Bacterial small subunit ribosomal RNA", at positions 338 to 795 of the family's 1533-position model. The record is from RNAcentral.